AUGAUUGCGAAUGGCUGCCUUCAGUGCUGGCUCUUACGAGCAUGUGCACGUUGGUGGCUUUCAUCCAAUACCCAUGUGAACCUUUGGCCUCUUGCUAGCUUUGGCUGGCAGAGGAUUUUUAUACACACUCGAAUGUAACGAAAACUAUUGUCGUGCGCAAGCACUAAUGUA
RNAcentral lists this unclassified non-coding RNA (171 nucleotides) under uncultured Sebacina. Its description in RNAcentral is "sequence contains ITS1". Lineage: Eukaryota; Fungi; Basidiomycota; Agaricomycetes; Sebacinales; Sebacinaceae. The record is from RNAcentral.